CCUACGGGGUGCAGCAGUGAGGAAUAUUGGUCAAUGGACGAGAGUCUGAACCAGCCAAGUAGCGUGAAGGAUGACUGCCCUAUGGGUUGUAAACUUCUUUUAUAUGGGAAUAAAAUGUUCCACGUGUGGGAUUUUGUAUGUACCAUAUGAAUAAGGAUCGGCUAACUCCGUGCCAGCAGCCGCGGUAAUACGGAGGAUCCGAGCGUUAUCCGGAUUUAUUGGGUUUGAAGGGAGCGUAGGUGGAUUGUUAAGUCAGUUGUGAAAGUUUGCGGCUCAACCGUAAAAUUGCAGUUGAAACUGGCAGUCUUGAGUACAGUAGAGGUGGGCGGAAUUCGUGGUGUAGCGGUGAAAUGCUUAGAUAUCACGAAGAACUCCGAUUGCGAAGGCAGUUCACUGGACUGCAACUGACACUGAGGCUCGAAAGUGUGGGUAUCAAACAGGAUUAGAUACCCGGGUAGUC
RNAcentral lists this ribosomal RNA (460 nucleotides) under uncultured bacterium. RNAcentral describes it as "partial 16S ribosomal RNA". It matches the Rfam family "Bacterial small subunit ribosomal RNA", at positions 338 to 795 of the family's 1533-position model. The record is from RNAcentral.